CCUACGGGUGGCAGCAGUGGGGAAUAUUGGGCAAUGGGCGCAAGCCUGACCCAGCAACGCCGCGUGAAGGAAGAAGGCUUUCGGGUUGUAAACUUCUUUUGUCAGGGAAGAGUAGUAGACGUUACCUGACGAAUAAGCCACGGCUAACUACUUGCCAGCAGCCGCGUUAAUACGGAGGUGGCAGGCGUUGUCCGGAUUUACUGGGUGUAAAGGGCGUGUAGCCGGGUUGACAAGGCAGAUGUGAAAUCCUGCGGCUUAACCGCAGAACUGCGGUUGAAACUGUUGAUCUUGAGUACUGGAGAGGCAGACGGAAUUCCUAGUGUAGCGGUGAAAUGCGUAGAUAUUAGGAGGAACACCAGUGGCGAAGGCGGUCUGCUGGACAGCAACUGACGGUGAGGCGCGAAAGCGUGGGGAGCAAACAGGAUUAGAUACCCUUGUAGUC
Molecule: ribosomal RNA, 442 nt
Filed under: uncultured bacterium
Lineage: Bacteria
Description: partial 16S ribosomal RNA
Rfam family: Bacterial small subunit ribosomal RNA
Source: RNAcentral